This 494-nucleotide ribosomal RNA is filed under the name uncultured bacterium. Its description in RNAcentral is "partial 16S ribosomal RNA". It matches the Rfam family "Bacterial small subunit ribosomal RNA", at positions 28 to 506 of the family's 1533-position model. The record is from RNAcentral.
GACGAACGCUGGCGGCGUGCCUAAUACAUGCAAGUAGAACGCUGAAGGAGGAGCUUGCUUCUCUGGAUGAGUUGCGAACGGGUGAGUAACGCGUAGGUAACCUGCCUGGUAGCGGGGGAUAACUAUUGGAAACGAUAGCUAAUACCGCAUAAUAGCAGUUGUUGCAUGACAACUGUUUGAAAGGUGCAAUUGCACCACUACCAGAUGGACCUGCGUUGUAUUAGCUAGUUGGUGGGGUAACGGCUCACCAAGGCGACGAUACAUAGCCGACCUGAGAGGGGGAUCGGCCACACUGGGACUGAGACACGGCCCAGACUCCUACGGGAGGCAGCAGUAGGGAAUCUUCGGCAAUGGACGGAAGUCUGACCGAGCAACGCCGCGUGAGUGAAGAAGGUUUUCGGAUCGUAAAGCUCUGUUGUAAGAGAAGAACGAGUGUGAGAGUGGAAAGUGCACACUGUGACGGGAUCUUACCAGAAAGGGACGGCGAACUACGU